This is an RNA transcript of Diospyros lotus (date-plum), 2036 nucleotides long. It is a transcript of the gene named integrin-linked protein kinase 1, with no coding region annotated. The record is from RefSeq and is a predicted model, not a curated record. The transcript has 12 exons. Lineage: Eukaryota; Viridiplantae; Streptophyta; Magnoliopsida; Ericales; Ebenaceae.
UUUGGCCACUCCUUUUCAGUUUUCCCCAAAAUGUCAAGUCGGUGAUCUCCCGAAUCCGACCAUCGAAACACAGUCAAAACAAUCAUCAGGCAAUUAAAGAAACGAAAGAAAGCUCUUCCCCCCGUACUUCCAAAAUUGUCGCUCCGACCAAAUCGCAAUGAGCAGCAGCUCAGGAGGGUCCGGACCUUCGCCGACGGCGUCUACCUCGACGGAGAAGAAAAAGGACAAAGCGAGUGUGAGCAGGACGUCUCUGAUACUGUGGCACGCCCACCAGAACGACGCCGCGGGGGUGCGGAAGUUGCUGGAGGAGGAUCGCUCGCUCGUCCACGCUAGGGAUUACGACAAUCGCACUCCGCUCCACGUCGCGUCGCUUCACGGCUGGAUAGACGUCGCCAAAUGUUUAAUCGAGUACGGGGCCGACGUCAACGCCCAGGAUCGCUGGAAGAACACGCCUCUAGCUGAUGCCGAAGGAGCUAAAAAGCAUGAGAUGAUUGAGUUAUUAAAUUCAUAUGGUGGUCUUUCCUUUGGCCAAAAUGGAAGCCAUUUUGAACCAAAGCCUGUUCCACCACCUCUACCAAAUAAGUGUGAUUGGGAGGUUGAUCCCUCUGAGCUGGACUUCUCAAGUUCAAGUGUCAUUGGAAAGGGAUCUUUUGGUGAGAUUCUAAAAGCAUCUUGGCGUGGAACACCAGUAGCUGUCAAACGCAUUCUUCCAAAGCUUUCAGAUGAUAGAUUGGUGAUUCAGGACUUCAGGCAUGAGGUAAAUUUGUUGGUGAAGCUCCGCCAUCCAAAUAUAGUCCAAUUCCUUGGAGCUGUAACUGAUAGAAAGCCUCUAAUGUUAAUCACUGAGUACCUACGUGGGGGUGACCUUCAUCAGUACCUAAAGGACAAGGGUGCGCUUAAUACACUAACAGCUAUCAACUUUGCAUUAGACAUUGCCAGGGGUAUGGCUUAUCUUCAUAAUGAGCCAAAUGUUAUAAUUCACAGAGACCUAAAGCCAAGGAAUGUUCUUCUUGUCAACUCAAGUGCAGACCACUUAAAAGUUGGGGACUUUGGACUAAGCAAACUCAUUAAGGUUCAAAAUUCUCAUGAUGUCUACAAAAUGACUGGAGAGACUGGAAGUUAUCGGUAUAUGGCUCCUGAAGUUUUCAGCCACCGGAAGUAUGAUAAGAAGGUUGAUGUGUUCUCUUUUGCUAUGAUACUUUAUGAGAUGCUUGAAGGUGAUCCACCAUUCUCACACUUUGAACCUUAUGAAGCAGCAAAACAUGUGGCAGAAGGACAGAGGCCCACCUUCAGGGCCAGGGGAUAUAUUUCUGAAUUGAGGGUGAGUAUCUUGGACAGUGGAGGGUAAAUUGAUGAAAAAACUCUCUACACCUACAUCUGUGAGCUUAAGUAUCCAAGCUUUCUGCCUUUUAGCUUUGAGUUCUGUAUUCAUCCUCACUUUGGUUAAUAGAGCGGUGCUGGGCUGCAGACAUGAAUCGAAGACCCUCUUUUUUGGAAAUUCUUGCCAGGCUCGAAAAGAUCAAGGAGACUGUAUCAUCAGAUCAUCACUGGCACAUCUUUACUUCUUGACUCAAUAGAGCCGAGCAUGAGUGCAGCUAUAGAAGUGUUAUUCCUGUAUCUGUUUGUGUGAAGGGGUUUAAAUGGACUCAAUUAGGUGAUUUUUUCAAGGCUGCAGUUUAACCUGACCUUGCAAUCAGGUGGCUGUUAUUAAUGGUGCUCAACAGUCGAGUCUUCUAUCCCUUGAGACUCCACCUGGAUCUAUGAAUAGAUGGGUCAACUUUUAACAUUUCAAAAAUGUUCAUUCUCUGACCCUACUAGUUCCCUUCCCCACUUUUGCCACUGUAAUUUGUUUCAAGUGAGUGCUAAUAUUCUGAAUUAUUAACUGCCCAGUUGUUUUUCCCGGCAGAAACACCAGACCUGAUCUCCUACUGUGAGACGGCCUUUAUAUCUUUACUUUGCCAUCUCUGUACAGUUUUAUGGCGUGUGAUUACUAUUGGUUGAUUUGUGUGAAAUAUUCCUGGAAGCUAUUUUCUUAA